AUGUACAAUAUAUGGUCAACUUAUUUUGCAGGAUUUGAAGCUCCGAAUCUAAGAAAACUCGGAGACAAGGUUGCAGCAGCUGCAGGAUACUAUGUAGUGCUUCCUGAUUUUUUAUACGGAUAUCCUCUUACUUCUGAGAAUGCUAACAGACCUCUACCUGUUUGGCUAAAAGAUCAUCAACCUAAUGAAGCUUUUGAAGAUGCAAAACCAGUAAUUGAAGCUUUAAAAUCAAAGGUAUUUUGUCUAUAG
Molecule: non-coding RNA, 249 nt
Organism: Vicia faba (fava bean)
Lineage: Eukaryota; Viridiplantae; Streptophyta; Magnoliopsida; Fabales; Fabaceae
Source: the annotation of a GenBank genome assembly